ACCUUACCAGGUCUUGACAUCCUCUGACAAUCCUAGAGAUAGGACGUCCCCUUCGGGGGCAGAGUGACAGGUGGUGCAUGGUUGUCGUCAGCUCGUGUCGUGAGAUGUUGGGUUAAGUCCCGCAACGAGCGCAACCCUUGAUCUUAGUUGCCAGCAUUCAGUUGGGCACUCUAAGGUGACUGCCGGUGACAAACCGGAGGAAGGUGGGGAUGACGUCAAAUCAUCAUGCCCCUUAUGACCUGGGCUACACACGUGCUACAAUGGACAGAACAAAGGGCAGCGAAACCGCGAGGUUAAGCCAAUCCCACAAAUCUGUUCUCAGUUCGGAUCGCAGUCUGCAACUCGACUGCGUGAAGCUGGAAUCGCUAGUAAUCGCGGAUCAGCAUGCCGCGGUGAAUACGUUCCCGGGCCUUGUACACACCGCCCGU
This 428-nucleotide ribosomal RNA is filed under the name Bacillus sp. p187. RNAcentral's name for it is "bacterial SSU rRNA". It matches the Rfam family "Bacterial small subunit ribosomal RNA", at positions 968 to 1397 of the family's 1533-position model. Lineage: Bacteria; Bacillati; Bacillota; Bacilli; Caryophanales; Bacillaceae. The record is from RNAcentral.